ACCAGCCAUCCAGCAUUAAAAACAAUCUAAAUUAAGAAUAUCACUAUUCCAUAUCCCACAAUUAAUAAUUAUUUUAUAUAACUUUUGCCUUUUGAGUAAAUUACAAAAAUUUUCUUAAAAUUAGAAAUAAAUAACACUAAAAAACCUAUGCUUGCCCCACUGAAGUUUAUUUUUAUCUAAUACUUCAACCUAUAACUUAAUAAAACAUUAGUAAAACCGUUAACUUUUAAUAAUAUUCUAAUGCCACGUAAAAAAAAAUCAAAAUAAUCUUAAAAUAUCUUUUUGAGAUUUAUACUUAUUACACUUAUACCCAAUAUUUUAUAAAAACCUACACUUGCACCUAUUUAAAUUGACAGCAUUAGUAAAACUAUUUAUCUACUAUAAGAAGCUAAAUUAUCUCUAUAAAAAAAAUAAAGCACCUAUUUUACUUUUUUGACCUUCAAAACUCUUCAAAGUAUUACGUCUUCAAAAGUUU
This 475-nucleotide long non-coding RNA is filed under the name Phoenix dactylifera (date palm). Its description in RNAcentral is "long non-coding RNA (PDAC_LNC019443)". The record is from RNAcentral. Lineage: Eukaryota; Viridiplantae; Streptophyta; Magnoliopsida; Arecales; Arecaceae.